RNAcentral lists this ribosomal RNA (314 nucleotides) under uncultured Elusimicrobiales bacterium. RNAcentral's name for it is "partial 16S ribosomal RNA". Lineage: Bacteria; Pseudomonadati; Elusimicrobiota; Elusimicrobia; Elusimicrobiales. The record is from RNAcentral.
GGAGUCUGGACCGUGUCUCAGUUCCAGUGUGUCCGUUCACCCUUUCAGGCCGGAUACCCGUCUUAGCCUUGGUAAGCCGUUAUCUCACCAACUAGCUGAUAGGACACAGGACCAUCUUAGAACGCAUUGCUGCUUUUACCCCUGUUUGAUGCCAAACUGUGGUCUUAUGCGGUAUUAGCUCCGUUUUCACGGAGAUAUUCCCCAUUCUAAGGGAGGUUUCCCAUGUGUUACUCACCCGUUUGCCGCUAACUCUUACGAUGCUCUGUAAGAAUUCGCUCGACUUGCAUGUGUUAGGCACGCCGCCAGCGUUAACU